UGCGGGGUGGAGCAGUGGUAGCUCGUCGGGCUCAUAACCCGGAGGUCGGAGGUUCAAGUCCUUCUCCCGCGUCCA
Molecule: transfer RNA, 75 nt
Filed under: Helicobacter sp.
Lineage: Bacteria; Pseudomonadati; Campylobacterota; Epsilonproteobacteria; Campylobacterales; Helicobacteraceae
Description: tRNA-Met
Rfam family: tRNA
About the family: Transfer RNA (tRNA) molecules are approximately 80 nucleotides in length.
Source: RNAcentral